AUGGACAGCGUUGAAGACAAGUUGAAGCGCAUGAAUCUCUCAGAGGCUGAGAGGAGGGGUGUGAAAAUCGGAUGGAGGAGAGCGGCGGAGCAGAAGGGGAGUGUGGCUAAAGCAAUGGGGAAGUUGUUCUCUGAUAAACUAGGACAUGUAGGAGGUAUGGAGCUGGCGCUAGGCAAGAUUUGGUGCCCGCUGAAGAGGCUGGAGGUGAAGGAGAUGGGAGAGAACCGAUUCUUGUUCCUUUUUCAUCAGGAGGCGGGGAAGAGAAAAGCAGUGGAUAAUGGCCCAUGGACCUUUGGCAAGGAGCUGCUCGUUAUGGAAGACUUCGAUCCUCGCAAAACAAUAGAGGAUUACACUUUCGACACGGUGCCGAUCUGGGUGAGAAUCUACAAUGUUCCGCUGGGAAUGAUGUGUCGGGAGGUGGGGGAAGACUUGGGGGAAGAAAUAGGUAAAUUGAUGGAGGUUGAUGCUGGCGAGGAUGGGACGGCAUUGGAUAAAUGCUUGAGGGUAAAAGUGAAGAUCAAAGUCUCUGAACCUCUCAUGAGGGGACUGUACCUGGAUGUGGAACCGGAGGAGGGGGAAGCAGGGAGUGACAUGGAGGUAGGCAUGACCGAUGGAGAGAGAUCGAAAAAGGAUGAGGAAGGGAGGUUCUGGUGCCAUUUUGAGUAUGAAUAUUUGCCUGAUUUCUGCUAUACUUGUGGGAGGCUUGGUCAUGUGGACAGAGAGUGCGGCAACAGGCUGAGAAAGGGCCAGAAAGCUGAGUUUGGAAGAUGGCUGAAGUAUGUGUCGGAAAGAGCUCAUGUCAAUGAGGCAGGAAGAACAAACUGGAGAGAAAACAGUGGUGGCAGUUCAGGCAGGAGGUAUGGAUGGCUGAAUAGCGAGGGGAGGUCUAGGAGUGAUGUGGAUUCCUGGAAGAAAUCAAGUGGAAGUGGGGGAGACAGGGAAAAGAAGAGCACGAUCGAAACUAAAGUUACAAGCCCUCUAAAUAUCACACUGCCAGCGAGCGAGCAAAAUAAGGAAAAGAGUGGGGAUAAGAGCAAAAAAUGUCUGAGUUUUGGCGCUUUGGAGGAAGCGGAAGGAUCAGUGAGUGCAGCCACAAACAAGGCAGUCCCAAACAAGCAGGGGGGCCCUUCUGCAGGGGUAGAGAGAGGAGCAAUAGACGCCGCGAGAGGUGGAAAGAGUGAUUUAAAGGGGGAGCUGCAUGCAGAGGUGAAGGCUCAUACCUUAAAAAAAAGAGUAAGAAGGGGAGGAACUGAAGGAAAUAUGCCCUAG
RNAcentral lists this ribosomal RNA (1269 nucleotides) under Triticum aestivum (bread wheat). RNAcentral describes it as "partial small subunit ribosomal RNA". The record is from RNAcentral. Lineage: Eukaryota; Viridiplantae; Streptophyta; Magnoliopsida; Poales; Poaceae.